GAUGAACGCUGGCGGCGUGCCUAAUACAUGCAAGUCGAGCGAACGGACGAGAAUCUUGCUUCUCUGAUGUUAGCGGCGGAAGUGUGAGUAACACGUGGAUAACCUACCUAUAAGACUGGGAUAACUUCGGGAAACCGUAGCUAAUACCGGAUAAUAUAUUGAACCGCAUGGUUCAAAAGUGAAAGACGGUCUUGCUGUCACUUAUAGAUAGAUCCGCGCUGCAUUAGCUAAUUGGUAAGGUAACGGCUUACCAAGGCAACGAGGCAUAGCCGACCAGAGAGGGAACUCGGCCAAGCCGGAACGAGGGCGCGGACCAGACUACUACGGGAGGCAGACGGAGGAGACUUCCCGGAAUGGGAGAAAUCCUGACGGAGCAACGCCGCGUGAGUGAUGAAGGUCUCCGGAUCGUAAAACUCUGUUAGUAGGGAAGAACAUAUGUGUAAGUAACUGUGCACAUCUUGACGGUACCUAACCAGAAAGCCACGGCUAACUACGUG
RNAcentral lists this ribosomal RNA (497 nucleotides) under uncultured bacterium. Its description in RNAcentral is "partial 16S ribosomal RNA". It matches the Rfam family "Bacterial small subunit ribosomal RNA", at positions 28 to 507 of the family's 1533-position model. The record is from RNAcentral.